This is a long non-coding RNA of Lolium perenne, 649 nucleotides long. RefSeq lists it as uncharacterized. The record is from RefSeq and is a predicted model, not a curated record. NCBI's taxonomy places the organism in Eukaryota, Viridiplantae, Streptophyta, Magnoliopsida, Poales, Poaceae.
GCAGCCAGCAGACUCCCCACUGCUCUCCUCUCCCUGAUCGAUCUUGCCGCCGGCACACUCCCUCCGCCGCCUGCCCCCUCCCUCCCUCGCCGGACAUCAUCCACCGCUCCUCUAAUUCCUCACCGCAGCGCCGACCCGCCUCCUGGAUGAAUACACAACGGAAGAGGAUCCGCGUGGCUCCUGGUGGUGGCCGCCCGAGCAGCGGCGACAACAAGGGCGGCCAGACCGUGGCUCUCGCCGCCGCGCGCCGGACGCCGGCAGGGGGAUCGAUGGAGGAGGGCCUGGUGGUGGCCUGACCAGGAUGCUGCAGCCGGCGACCACCUCCCCGACCUUCUCCCCACGCGCGCCGGCAACAUCCCUGGACCUGCUGCUCCAGACGCCAUCCACCUCUCCGUCCCGCUGCAGCCUCCAGUCCAGGAACGCUUGGACGGGCCUGACACGGAUAAGAGCAAAGCCGCGGUGGUCUAUUUGGUGUUUGGCUGAACUUUGCUGAGAGCAGCGCCUACGGCCUCGCCAUGCUCGUCCGCCUCCUCGGCCACGUCCUACCUCUCCGCCAUCCAGCUAUACAUAGCAACUAGCCUCACCAUCUGCAGGAGGUGCACGGGGAGCGAAACGGAUUCCUGGAGCAGCGUUGGCAGCGAGUGUUAUG